Molecule: ribosomal RNA, 440 nt
Filed under: uncultured bacterium
Lineage: Bacteria
Description: partial 16S ribosomal RNA
Rfam family: Bacterial small subunit ribosomal RNA
Source: RNAcentral
CCUACGGGAGGCAGCAGUGGGGAAUAUUGCACAAUGGGGGAAACCCUGAUGCAGCGACGCCGCGUGAGUGACGAAGUACUUCGUUAUGUAAAGCUCUUUUAGCAGGGAAGAAAAUGACGGUACCUGAGUCAGAAGCCCAGGCUAACUACGUGCCAGCCGCCGCGGUAAUACGUAGGGGGCAAGCGUUAUCCGGAUUUACUGGGUGUAAAGGGAGCGUAGACGGCAGUGCAAGUCUGGAGUGAAAGGCGGCGGCUCAACCCGCGGACUGCACUGGAAACUGUACGGCUGGAGUGCAGGAGAGGUAAGUGGAAUUCGUGGUGUAGCGGUGAAAUGCGUAGAUAUUAGGAGGAACACCAGUGGCGAAGGCGGCUUACUGGACUGUAACUGACGUUGAGGCUCGAAAGCGUGGGGAGCAAACAGGAUUAGAUACCCCUGUAGUC